CACACCAAAACACACACACACAGAGUAAGGAGAAGCAGAGACCGGCAGAAGGGAAAGAAGAAAGGAAAAAGAAGAAGAAAAGAGGUGAGGUUAAUCUCUUCAAGUUGGGUUUAAUUUUUCCACUUGUUUUCGAGUGAUUAAGUAUGAUUUAUAUUAAAUUUUUAGGGUUUUAACUUUUAGAAUAAAAUGUCGAAUUUUAGGUGAUAUUUGUACGAAUUGGAGCUCAAGUUUGGGGAUUUCUUCAUUUUCAAUUUCAGCUAGGUAAGGGAUAUUAUUUUAGCAAACCCUAGAAAUUUUAUUUGGGAUUUUUGGGAUUAAGUAUGUUUAUGGAAAUGAUGAUGUUGAGAAAAUAAUUAAUUGAAAGCAUGAAAUUAUGGAACAAAAGGAAAAUUUUAAUUAGUUGAAUUAUAGCAAUUUCUUGUCACUUGAAUGAUGUGGAUGUCAUAGUGAUGUUUGGAAGUGAAGGUUAUGUUGAUAAAUUAGUUAUUAGUCAAUGGAUUAUAAAGUGUGAUUAGCUCCAAUUAAUAAAGGAAAAUUUGGGAACUUAUUCAAGUGUCCAGAAAAAUUAAUUUUAAGUUCUAUCAUUAGAUAUUAAGGUUUCUUGAUUAGAUAGAGGAUAAAUUGGUUAUUAAUAUCGUAUUUCAGGUGGUGGCGAGAAAAUUGGAAACAUUUAUUAGCCAAUCUAGCUUGUAGCUCAUACCUUGUGAGUAGAUAAAACUUAUUUUUCAGAAAUAAGUCUUCUUUAAAUUUUAAAGUUAUUUAUUUUAUAAAGUUGACUUCAUAGCAUGAUUUUUAGAAUAAAAUGGAUUUUAUUAUCAAUUGCUUUUAAAGUUAAAUUCAGUUCAGUUAAAUUAUUUUAGUAGCAUGUUAUAUUCUUAUUACAUGUUUCAGUAUAGUUAAAGUUAUUUCUAAAAACCACCAGAAAGUACCCAGGUGAUUUUACCCCAGUUUGCACUGAUGUGAAUGUGUUUCCACAGUGUAUGACUAGUUAUAGUGAUUUUACCCGCUCUGCACUAUCGUGAAUGUGUUUCCAUAGUGUAUGACCAGAUUAUCAGAGGUCUUUGGAACCCACUCUCGUACACACAUAGGCUUUGGGCCGUGUACUAGGGUGAUUAGCCUUUGGGGCAGCUCUACGUACGUAUGACCAUAUUAUCAGAUUUGAAUGGCUUUGCCUUGUACAUCGAGAUUACUCUGUACAUGAGUAAGGCUAUUCAUUGGGUACUCUUUUUGGUGUGAUUUUUCAGUAUUUAUCCAGUUCUCAGAUUUCAGAUUAUGGAAGUCAGUUAAUUCAGUUUUCAGAAUAAAGCUUUCAGCUUAUACUUUUGAGCAGUAGCAAUAUUUCAUAGAUUUUCACGAAUAUCAAAUUCUUUAUAUUUGCUAUAUCUCACAGAUACUUAUCUAGAAUUUAGAACAAAGAAUUUUAUAAUGUAAUUAUAUUUAGUUUUUAAAAGUAUUACUAGAUUCAGAAAUCCUCAAGGAUUUAAUAAAGUUAAAAUUUUUAGAAAAUAUGCAUAAAUGGAAAAAGUUUACUUAUUUACAAAUCAUCCACUCACUGAGUUACAAACUCAUAUUUUUGUCAUGUUUUUCCUAUCAGGAGACCGUCGAUUUUGAGAUACUGGGAAAAGCAUGUUGAAGCGAAAGAGACCAUUUCAUAGUAUGUAAUGUAUAGUUGGGGAACUCAUGUUUAUUAAGUACUUGUCUAAUAUUUGGUGUGUCAUGCACUUCGUAGAAAGGUUGGUAAUUAAUGUAAUGCUUGCAUGUUGACAAGAUGAUGUUGUAGAAGCACUCAAUCGAAUUUUGUUAUAUUUUGUAGUAGUUGUGGUGGUAUUAGAGGAAGUGGUGG
Molecule: long non-coding RNA, 1843 nt
Filed under: Olea europaea subsp. europaea
Lineage: Eukaryota; Viridiplantae; Streptophyta; Magnoliopsida; Lamiales; Oleaceae
Source: RNAcentral